This 2484-nucleotide long non-coding RNA is filed under the name Heterocephalus glaber (naked mole-rat). Its description in RNAcentral is "lncRNA (ENSHGLG00000044163.1)". Lineage: Eukaryota; Metazoa; Chordata; Mammalia; Rodentia; Bathyergidae. The record is from RNAcentral.
ACCUCCAGUGCAGGCUUUGGGAGUGGGAACAGAGCGGACACGCUAGGGACGCUGCUUUCUCCCCAGGACCUGACUUCCACCUGGUCUGGCUGCAAGCAGACACUGCCAUGGGGUCAAAACUACAAGGAAGGGAAACAUUUUGAAUCAGUUGAGGACAUCGAGGCAGCAGGACCCCACAACCAAGACUCUCAGGCAAGAGGACUCCAGAGCUGCUGCAGAAAGUGACAGGAUCAAUGGGCUUGCUGAAGCUUGUUCUCCCAGCCUGCUGGUGAACAUUAGAGCAGAAAUCUAUAACAUGACCAUGUUCAUCCAAGCACAGGAAGAAACUAAAUUAAAUGUUAAAAAACAAUCUGAGGCUGGAGUUGGAGACAAUUCAUCAUGAUCUGUGAUGCCAGGCAGGUGGGAUGGCUGAGGAUCCGCUGCCGGAGACCUGGCCGGAUGCGCAAGGGCGCGAGGCUCAUUUGUCGGGUGUGCCUGCCAGGGCACUCGGGAGACACGCGAAGGUCAGCUCUCUGGGCUGCAAUGUUUUUCCUUGAAACUGAGUACUACACACCUGAAAAGUGUAACUGCAGCAAAUCAGCAGAAAGAACUGGAAGAAAGGAGUGGAAUUCCUUAGGAAGAGCGUGCAUGGGGCAAUGUGUGGCAGAUCCCCAACACCAGCGCUGCUCACCCCAGGCCCAGCGCUGUUUUCACCCUUGUGUGCUGCAGACUGGGCAGGCUCACAUCACACUGGAGCCCUGGCCUUUCUCCUGGGUGACAGAGGUGAGGCUUGGGACAUGCGGCAGCCUGAGGUUCUGAAACAUCUGGAUGGUGUUCACUGCCGGGCAGCUCCUUCACCCCAGGACCACAGCACUGGGGAGAGCACUUCCCAGCAACAGCUUCGGAUGAUGCUGGAAGCAGCCUUUCUUCCUGUCCAGCUAAUCCAGUUUACACUGGACACAGCCACAUCUGCCAGGGUGAACUCAGACAGGCUGCUCACCCUGGACCAAGUUCUUUGCAUGCUAACAGCUCACUGGGCUGCCCAGAGGGGAAAGAAGAGGGACAAAACAAAGUGGAAAGAUGCAUGAAUCUGGUGGUGAAUCCAGACUGCUCUAGAAGACAAGAACCAAGAGGGCAGCCAGAAGCAGGCUGCAGGACAGCGAGGGCCACGCAGGGCACAGGCUUCCUGCAGCUCAGGGCCCGCGCCCCCACUUGCUCUGCCACUCUCCUCCUGUGAGGACUUGGACAGAGAUUACGGGACGUUCUACUGAAGGAGCUUCCUCCUUGGUCCCUGGAACAGAGACAGCUUCUCGGCGGCAGAAGGCGGCUGUUCUGCUCUGGACCAGCAGUGCCUGACCUGACCUCCACCCCUCAGCCGCCCAAGGCCAUCCUCGGAGCCUCGGGACAUCUGGGCACACAGGGGAAGUGCGUCACACAGGAAUCGGGAGUCCCUGACCAGAGAACUGGCCACUGAGCUCCAGAGGACGCAGUUAGAGACAGAGUGAGAAAGUCAGGGCUGAAUGGGAAGAAAGGGUAAAUAGCAAAGUUGGGCUAAGCUUCAGCUGGAGAAAAGCUCAGCUCCUGCACAGGGCGCAGCCACUUGUGUCCUGCAUCUAAGCUACAGUGUGCUCCACACAAGGACCAGGCACCUCGCCACCAGGGCUCCCGCACAGUGACGUGUCCCAGAGGCCGCUGACAUCCUGCUCCGAGCUCAUCACAAGCAUUCUGUACCUCAAAGACUGUGAUUGUCAGUUGCCACGUAAACACAGUUUGAAUUUUUAAAAGAAAAUUUGGAAUCUGGUGAAACACAACAGUGUCUGUUUUGGUGCUGGUGACGGCCUCAGCAGUGGCCCCUCCAUGGUGACAUACAGUGUCUCGCAUGUCAUGUCAGCUGUCAGAAUGCGACUUCCCUGGUCACGCAGCCCCUCAGAGGCAUUAGGAAGUGGAGGGUCUCGGCUUCUUGGUGGCUGUUCUGUUGGUUGAGUUUGUUCAAUACUAUGUAUUCGAGUCUUAGAAAACACCACAGGGCGGGAUUUAGAAAGAACGGCUCCCACACCUGGCCCCAGAGCGAUGCAGAAUUGAGCAGCUCCAUGGCUGAAGUUCAGCACCUCUGCCCUGAGCUCAAAUCGAGCCUCAAGUAGGAGAGUCUCCUCGCCAAGUCAGGAGUUCAGAGCCCCGGCAGGGCCACAAGUUCUCGGGACUUGUCCACGGCGCGUCCUCUGACACGAGGCACCAACCACUGAUUCCUCCGUGCCUUUCCUUCUGGCUCUUUACCUUGUGCCACCCAGUUACGUUUCUUUACAACCCAAAGCUGAACUGGAAAACUACAUUUUUAUCUGUUGCUGUCGUUUUGUCUGUUACUGACGUAACAAGUGAGUUUCUGUUUUUCAAGUAGAAAAAUGGGCUGGUAUUUGCACUGCAGUUCCUUUAAAUGCUUUUAUUUUGCAAGUUCUACUUCCAUGCUUUCUGUCCUCUGCUGUCCUCUUACUCCAUAAAAUUUUUAUU